RNAcentral lists this ribosomal RNA (416 nucleotides) under uncultured bacterium. Its description in RNAcentral is "bacterial SSU rRNA". It matches the Rfam family "Bacterial small subunit ribosomal RNA", at positions 98 to 512 of the family's 1533-position model. The record is from RNAcentral.
GCAAACGGGUGCGGAACUACGUACGCAACCUUCCCAUAACUGGUGAAUAGCCCUCCGAAAGGAGGAUUAAUACACCGUAACAUAAUGAGGUGGCAUCACUUUAUUAUUAUAGCUCCGGCGGUUUUGGAUGGGCGUGCGCCUGAUUAGGUAGUUGCGGGGUAACGGCCCACCAAGCCUGCGAUCAGUAACUGGUGUGAGAGCACGACCAGUCACACGGGCACUGAGACACGGGCCCGACUCCUACGGGAGGCAGCAGUAAGGAAUAUUGGUCAAAUGGACGCAAGUCUGAACCAGCCAUGCCGCGUGAAGGAUGAAGCCCUCUGGGUUGUAAACUUCUUUUAUCUGGGACGAAAAAAGAUCAUUGCCUGAUCACUGACGGUACCAGAGGAAUAAGCACCGGCUAACUCCGUGCCAGC